Long non-coding RNA from Gymnogyps californianus (California condor), 1419 nucleotides. RefSeq lists it as uncharacterized. The transcript has 3 exons. Lineage: Eukaryota; Metazoa; Chordata; Aves; Accipitriformes; Cathartidae. The record is from RefSeq and is a predicted model, not a curated record.
CUGGAACCUUCAGCUGUCUUGCUCCAUCCCAAGGGCAGCUGCUCUCGGAAAGGAGCUGAAAAUGGAUGCUCUUUUAAGAAUUCAGCGUGGAUUUCUUGCAGACUACAAUUCUUCCUCUCAAGUCAUCUAUCCAUUCAGUGUCAACUGAUCAUCUUUAGUGUUUCAGACUUGCUCUCUCUGGUUUUUGGACCUUCCAGCUUAUCUGAGGCUAAAAACUGCAGCUGAACCACAAGGGAAGAGUGUUUGCUUGACGCUGAGAUGAGGACAGCCUAAGUGCAUUUGCUUGAUGGACACUGCAGAAAUGGCCAUCUUCCAGUAUGAACAGCAAACCACAGACACAAAUCUGCCAAAACUGUAGAGGUACCCAGAAACCAGCCCGUGCCAAUGGCUUUAAAGCCUCGUGCCAGAAGAUGCUCCAGAUGUGUUUCUAUUUAGCUUCCUCAUGUAAGAGUGGUGCUGCUUUCCUGAGUACUAUGGGCAUGAAGCUUAGUGGUAAACAAAGUGAAAGAAAUCGAGCGAUGUUAAUUAUUAUAGGCUAAGAAACUUUUCUGAUCUUAUUUAAUCAGAUAUAAAGCAAUUCCUAUUCAAGACAAAGGAGGGAAGAAUCUGAGCUUUCUUUUCAAUAACAGCAGCUAUUUUUCUGUGGAGUUCAGAUGCUCUGAUCAUCUGAAAUGGAAAGACAGUUAAUACUGGAAAUAUGUAUUUGACACAUCCACUUGCCACUUACAUGUGCAACAGAAUCCAUGGUCUUCUAUAACUAGAAGGAAUUAGUAAUCUAUAACAAGACUAUGAUGUGCUGUUUUCCUGUCAGUGAGAAGCAAAGGAAGAGAGGGGAAAAUAUUCAUUUCAGGGGGAGGAGAAGGAGAGACUUCCAUCAAGUCUGUCUUGUAUUGCCAACACUGGAGAGAAAUAUUUCAUGCUUUUUUAUAACUUUACUAAAUCAUACGGGAACAUCAGACUCUGAAUAAAGAAUAGCAUGGGGGAAAAGAAUGACUCAAAAGGAGAUCUGUCUUACUGAAAGCACGGUUAAACUGUGCGCACGUACUAUUCCUGAAACUGUUUUCCCUGCUUUUAAGGUUUAUCCUUGAAGUCCCUGACUUACUACAGCUACUGGAGGAAAUGAAUGUUGUAGUCUGUACAGGAUGUUUGUAAUGCUUCCAGCAGUAUAAAAAUAACUUUCCCAGUUUUGAUUAAAUUGAGUCCUCAUAAAGAUAAUUAUGGGUUUGUGUAAUGAAAUUUGGCAAAUUCCUAAAGAUGCUAUUUAACUACCUGUGUUAUAAACAAGAUUCUCAGUGCACAUCACUACUGUAUCAGCUGUUAAAGUGAUAGACUUGUAAAGAAGCAGCAUUUUCCUUCACAUUUGGUGUGGUAUUCCUGAAAAAUCAGUGUAGUCAGCUUCACUUUUAGAUUAGACUUCAU